Long non-coding RNA from Oreochromis aureus, 404 nucleotides. The record is from Ensembl. Lineage: Eukaryota; Metazoa; Chordata; Actinopteri; Cichliformes; Cichlidae.
UUUUUUUUCUGGUUUUAUGUGGUCUGUUUAUAACAUGGAAGAAUCAAACCUGCUGUGAUACUGUGUUCAUUCAUCUGUUGUUUAUAACUGGCUCAGUGUAACUGCUAAACAUCGAACUGUAAUACAGUUUGGUUAUUCACUAAUCUACAUUAAAACAUUGUGUAGUUUAGUUCCUGUGGUGUUCUUUAGAUAAAGGACUGUUGUGGUCUUAAUGAACGUUGGUCCAACAGUGAGAUGAACUACAGUAUGGAAAUGUGUUGGUUUCAGGUUCUUCAGUCUUCCCUGCUGGUGUUGUUAUCCGGAUUAUGGGAAUACUGCUCCUGCUGACACUCUGCUUCUCUGGAAUCUUCAUCUGGAGGAGAAAAUAUAAAGAGCUGUACUGACAUGCAGCUUUAGAAAGAAUU